AGAGUUUGAUCCUGGCUCAGAACGAACGCUGGCGGCGCGUUUUAAGCAUGCAAGUCGCACGGUAAAGGUACUUCGGUAUCUCUAGAGUGGCGGACGGGUGAGUAACACGUGGAUAACCUACCCUUUGGUUGGGAAUAGCUCAUGGAAACAUGGGGUAAUACCGAAUACGACCACUGCACCACAAGGUGGAGUGAGGAAAGGCGCUACGGCGCCGCCGAAGGAUGGGUCCGCGGUCCAUUAGCUAGUUGGUGAGGUAAGAGCUCACCAAGGCGAUGAUGGAUAGCCGGCCUGAGAGGGCGACCGGCCACAUUGGGACUGAGACACGGCCCAGACUCCUACGGGAGGCAGCAGCUAAGAAUCUUCCGCAAUGGACGAAAGUCUGACGGAGCGACGCCGCGUGAACGAUGAAGGCCGUGAGGUUGUAAAGUUCUUUUCCGAGGGGAGAAUAAGGAUGGCAGGGAAUGGCCGUCUGAUGACGUGAACUCGGGAAUAAGC
Molecule: ribosomal RNA, 495 nt
Filed under: uncultured bacterium
Lineage: Bacteria
Description: bacterial SSU rRNA
Rfam family: Bacterial small subunit ribosomal RNA
Source: RNAcentral